AGUGAACGCUGGCGGUAGGCCUAACACAUGCAAGUCGAACGGCAGCACAGUAAGAGCUUGCUCUUACGGGUGGCGAGUGGCGGACGGGUGAGGAAUACAUCGGAAUCUACUUUUUCGUGGGGGAUAACGUAGGGAAACUUACGCUAAUACCGCAUACGACCUACGGGUGAAAGCAGGGGAUCUUCGGACCUUGCGCGAUUGAAUGAGCCGAUGUCGGAUUAGCUAGUUGGCGGGGUAAAGGCCCACCAAGGCGACGAUCCGUAGCUGGUCUGAGAGGAUGAACGGCCACAGUGGAACUGAACCACGGCCAAGAGUCCUAGGGAGGCAGCAGUGGGGAAUAGUGGACAAUGGGCGCAAGCCUGAUCCAGCCAUACCGCGUGGGUGAAGAAGGCCUUCGGGUUGUAAAGCCCUUUUGUUGGGAAAGAAAAGCAGCAGGUUAAUACCCCGCUGUUCUGACGGUACCCAAAGAAUAAGCACCGGCUAACUUCGUG
This 491-nucleotide ribosomal RNA is filed under the name uncultured bacterium. Its description in RNAcentral is "partial 16S ribosomal RNA". It matches the Rfam family "Bacterial small subunit ribosomal RNA", at positions 29 to 507 of the family's 1533-position model. The record is from RNAcentral.